GGAGAGGUGUCCGAGUGGUUUAAGGAGCGCGCCUGGAGAGCGCGUAUACUGGGAUAACCGGUAUCGAGGGUUCGAAUCCCUCCCUCUCCGCCA
This 93-nucleotide transfer RNA is filed under the name bacterium. RNAcentral's name for it is "tRNA-Ser". It matches the Rfam family "tRNA". Rfam says of the family: Transfer RNA (tRNA) molecules are approximately 80 nucleotides in length. Their secondary structure includes four short double-helical elements and three loops (D, anti-codon, and T loops). The record is from RNAcentral. RNAcentral also lists the same sequence under 7 other names.